CUCUAAAAUAGAUUUUGGCUCCAUUUGUUUUGUUUUUUUUUAUUGCUUUGCCCUCAUCAUUUUUUCUUUCGGUAGGAGGGCGUUUACUAUGUCAAAAAUUCAUUUUCACUGUGUACUAAGUAUGUGCAAAUUUUGGUGAGUCGUGGAGUGUGAGCAAAAUUUUCGCACAAAGGCACACCACAAAGAAGUGUGGUCUUUGCAGUCCUGGACUGCUUAACUUAACUUUUCACAUUCUUUCAAACACCGCGCUGUUAGCAUACCAAUGCUUUGCAGCCCAUAGAACUAGACAGCAUUUACACUUUGGAGUGCAUCCGGGAGAAAAAAAAAACUAUAUAAGAUCACAUCACAUUUGGCCCAAUUCUCUCGCCUGAGGUUUGCGCCGAUCAUAUUCAAGCACCGGGGAGGACCAGCCACUUUGCAUGUGAGACGAGAGGGAAAACUCUGCCAGCUUUGCAUUGCCCAUAAGUAGGCUACUUAUUACAACAUAUUCAUUAGUGAAAGACUGGCAGUGAGCGAUAUGGAGUUGGUGGAAAAAUGACCUCAUAUCUGGGGAAAAAUUUGUUUACAGGAGCCUCUGCAGCCACAGACACGAUGCCUGCAGUGUGGGGAGAAACUGGAGUGGUCAGACGAGCACAGUGUCCUCCUUGGCUGCUCAUGUUGCUCUACAGUGGAUGAGACCAUUGAGAAUGUAGCCAGAGGCCUGGCCAGUAAAAUGAAGAAGAAGAGUCACUGGGCGGCUGGAAGAGUUGGUGACAUUGACUUUUGUGGAACCAAUAAGACUCGAGGAAAGUUUGUGAAGGUGCGCAGCAACACAGAACCGGUGCAGAUCUACCAGAUGCUGACUCAGGAAUGGGGCCUGUCUCCCCCACACCUGGUAGUAGCAGUGGUGGGGGGAGAUGAGCUGGCUCAGAUGAAGCCUUGGCUCAGGGACACUCUCAGAAAAGGACUCGUGAAGGCUGCACAGAG
This is a non-coding RNA of Oryzias latipes (Japanese medaka), 966 nucleotides long. Lineage: Eukaryota; Metazoa; Chordata; Actinopteri; Beloniformes; Adrianichthyidae. The record is from RefSeq and is a predicted model, not a curated record.